GACUAUUAAUGGAGCAGAAGUGUCUAUUCUCCCAUUGUUUUGUUUGGAAGGAUGUUUUAUCCCUCAUAACAACCUACUUUGAAUAUAUACGUGGUAAAAAAAGAGGCCAUAUCUGUUCAAUUUUGAUUUCGGAUUAUGACAUGAUUUUAUAUAAGCAGUCAAAAAGAGGUUCCUUUCUUCCUAAAAGAUAAAACCCUUUUUUUUAUUUGAGAUCCAAAAUCAAGUGGAAAGCUCUAAAAGAUUGCAACAAUCUAAUCCAACUGUGCCUUUUUGAAGAAUUCUAAUUCUUCAAAAGAGAAAGUCAUCCUUUUUCUUACCUCUUCUAGAUGCAUUGAAGACCCAAGUGGGCACCUCCUAGAUACAGCUAGACACACCUUUUUAGAAGAACUUUUUAGCAUGCAUGAUUGGAUAAUCUAUUUGGAAUGCAUGUCUAAGAGUCUAAAAACCCUUCACUAGCACGUAUAAAAAUAUAUUUUGAAGUCCUUGGAAAGUCAUUCCAAACAGGCCUAAAGUCCUAAUAUCAUUGAAUCUUGAAAGACCAGCUGCCAAAAUGCUUUACUAUGGAAGUAUCCUCUAUUCGUGUUCAUUUGCCUCAAGAGAUGAAUUGGACAAAGUGUCCGUUUAAUAAGACUUCAAAUUGUUGGUUGAAGAUGCCAACAACCCUAUUGUCAUGAUAUGGAUAUUGGGUCUUUUAUUUCUUAUAUUCAUCCCCUAGCCACUAUUUUUUCUCUCUUCGGGAUAUUUCUAGACAUAGAACUUAAUAGCUCAUGUGUCAUGACCUAGCAAAGUGUUUCUUUGCUUCAUUUUAGUUUUGUUUAGUUGAAUGCUUAUUGGACUUGGAGUCCAUUUAGAGCCUUUGCAAUCACCCCCUUAGUAUUGUUAAGAGCGAGCCGGAGUAUCCAUUGUCUCUUAGUUUUGAAUGGAAGGAUGAUUUAACCCUCACAAGUCACAACCACACGUUUUGAAUUCUCAAUAAUGGAAAAAAGGGCCAGGCCGAGUUUUACCGUACCACCAUACCACCAUACCACCAUAGACAUCUAAUAUAAUGUACAUAAUAAUGAAGGGGGAAAAGGGAUAGAAUUGUAGAGCAUGCAUUAGCAUCAAAACGAAAUAGGGAAUGAAAACCAAACAAUGAAGUACAUGGCAGGCAACAAAAAGUAAUAAAUAAGCUUUCAUCAACCAGCAAAAUGAAAAACACACCAGAAAAAAAAAACUAAAAAGAACCAGCAUGUAUCCCAGAAACUAAUUCUAGUUUGGGGGGAUCCAUUGCAAUUCAAUUCCAUAUUUCCAGGUUUCAACUGGAUCGCCAGGCUUAAAAUUGACCACGGAAGUAUAAGCAGUGCACCCUCCUAUUCUGACUCUUAUCAUGUGGGCAGUCAUGGCUGAAUCUUUCAAGUACGUACAGCAAAGGGUGUUCUUGCACCCACUUGCUUCUAUCAUUUUCUCCUCAAACUGCCUACAAGGGCUGUUUAUUGAACAAUUCAGGGGCGAGUUUAUAAGAUUAUUUGAGCAGUUUAAGAGCAUGACAGUGUUGUGUGUAGAAACAUUGAAAGGUAAAUUUUCAUCUAGCCUUAAACCUCCUAAAGAGAGAUCAGAAGAGAAACAUCUCCCAUUCUGUAUUUCGGGUGGGCUUAUAAUAAGCUUAUAAGCAUUAGGAUCAAUGGAAUGAAUAUUAUAGUAAAACCCUUCACUUGACUUGAACUGAAGAAUAUCAUCAUUGCAAUGAACUUUGUACCUAGAGUCUCCACAGUUGUCAUUUGUGCUAAGCGGAUAAGGGACUUCAAGAUUUCCACAUUUGGAACAAGCCGAAAAAGCUAUUGCUUUAGAUAAUUGAAAAAAGAGAGCAAAUAUAAUAAACAUGGUCUUCUUGAUAUUUUUCAUUUAGGAAGGAGUGAAGAGAUUCCAAUAGAGAAAUACAGUGUGCUCAGAGCCAAAUGUCUAUUUAUAGAAAGCGAAAAGUUGCCUAUGCAUAAAUAAUAGCAACAUGGAGAAUAACAGAAAAGUACGGAAACCAAUGGACUAAGACAUCCAAUCUUAGUGGGUUCUCUUUUAUGAAAUAUAUAAUUCCCUUUAUAACACGCAUGAAAACAAAUGUCAGUGCACAAAGUAAAUAUAUACAGCUUAAUCAUGAGGAGUUAAAAAAAUCAAACUUACCAAAAGAUGCAUCGAGUGGAAAUCUAAACACUAGUUUUUAAACUAAUCAACCUACAUGACCUAGAAGGAAUUUUCCCCUCCUUGCUCCCCUUCCUUCCUUCCUUCCCUCCUUCCCUCCUUCCCUCCCAUCUUUAUUACUAUUUUUUUUCUUUUUUUCUUUUAUGAAAUCAACAACCUUCCUUACCAUCUUUAUUUUAUUCUAUUUCUUGUCCUAACAUCAAAGAAAAGCAAGCAGCAAAGAGAAAACAAGAAUUUUAUAGCACCAUGUUGAAUAUCACAAUUUUUUUAUAAGAAACAAUGUUUUCAUUAUUGAGAUAUGUAAAAGGAUAUACAAGAGCAUGAAGAAAACAAGUCCAAGAACAAAAAAAAAACUCCAAUCCAAAACAACAAAAUCAAACUGAUAAUUCCAAAAAGCCAUUAAGAAACGCCUAAAGCACCUGGUUGAAUAUAUCAUUAUAUCUAUGGACACGCCUAGAAUCUUAUUCAAGAUACAGCUGAAAGAUAUGAGCACAUAAUUAAACACAAUAAGAAAAAAAAACACAAAGAUGAUCUGAUAAACAAGUCUUCUAUUUUCACUUUUGAACCUUUUGCUUGAUCUUUUAUUCUUGAUAUCAGGUGGUUGUUGUACAAGGAAAAGUUAUUGGAGCCAACAGCUGUCAAAAGAACUAUGAACCGUAUCCCACUUUCUUUUUUUAGACAUCUUUGUGGUACAAAGUUGCCUUUUGAGUUUUGAGUGGCUCCAAUUCUCCAAGUGGGAUGGCCUCCUCUAUCUCUCCUCAGUUAUUAAAGAUCCCAAUUAUAAACAUAAUGCUUUUUCAUUACCUUCCAGCUUCCACAUAUGGACUCUUAGUAAUUAAUAAUAAUACAAACUUUCAUGGUGGACAACUGACUGGCUAACAGCACUCACAAACAAAUAAAGAAAUAGCCAAAACGUUCCAAAUGUCGGAUGAUAAUGCGUACGAAGAUUAUUCUAUAUCCUUGAUCCUCAAAUUUACAGGCGAUCCAAGUCAGGCUAACUUGAACAAUCUCUAGAAUCUCAUAAACAUGUGUAAUCCGCAAAAUGACGGUUAUAAUCUAAGAUACUUUGAAUCAAAUAACAACAAGAACCUCAUGGAUUUCAAGCAGGAAUUAGAAAACACCAAUACUCUCUCUAGAAACUAUAGUCAGUGAGGAAAAGGUGAACACGAACUCUCCCGAUGAUAAAUAUUCAUACAUUGAUGAUUAAUAGCUACACGAACUGCAUUUUUUUCAUCGAUCAAUCAAGAGUUAGUUCAACAGCAGCUACAAGACGAUACACAGGAAAAAUGGAGAAUACCGGGAAAAGUCUAGAUGCUUGGUGAAGCUCUACAAUCGAACUCGUUUUCGAAAAAACAAAACAAAAAAAAAAGCUUAUUGUAAGAGCGAAAAGCGCAAUAACGAGAGGCUGAGACGCCGGACAGGAAGGCGGAGCAGAACGGGGCCGGCGAUGGUCCGUGGAAUGGUACAUUUACGUGCAAAUGUUAAUCCUGGAUUGGUUGUGUUGUAGCAACAUAGCAACAUAAAAUUGUUGGGGGCAUCAGCAAAUUUUGAAGCUGAGUCCCAACCAUAAAAGGCAAUUUGGAAUAUAUUUUAACCAAAUUCUAUUAGCAAACAAGUUAGGCAAAAUACAAAUAUUUGAAAAAUCACCUCUCACUUGUGAGUCUGAUAUUGAAUGGUUAGUAUUUUCCCAGUUGUUCAAUAUUGGAUUGUGUUGCAUCUAUGUCCAAUUCACGUUUUUAGAAAAUGUUGAUUGUGCUAAUGCUAGAGCGGCAUUUGGUGGACUUUGUGACAAUUAUCUUCCAGUCUUUAGCUACCCUCAGAAACGGGAAGUAG
RNAcentral lists this long non-coding RNA (4005 nucleotides) under Cucumis sativus (cucumber). Its description in RNAcentral is "long non-coding RNA (CSAT_LNC000515)". Lineage: Eukaryota; Viridiplantae; Streptophyta; Magnoliopsida; Cucurbitales; Cucurbitaceae. The record is from RNAcentral.